UACGGAGGGGACUAGCGUUGUUCGGAAUUACUGGGCGUAAAGCGCACGUAGGCGGAUUUGUAAGUCAGGGGUGAAAUCCCGGGGCUCAACCUCGGAACUGCCUUUGAUACUGCAAAUCUCGAGUCCGGAAGAGGUGAGUGGAAUUCCGUAGUGUAGAGGUGAAAUUCGUAGAUAUUAGGAAGAACACCAGUGGCGAAGGCGGCUCACUGGUCCGGUACUGACGCUGAGGUGGCGAAAGCGUGGGGAGCAAACAGGG
This 256-nucleotide ribosomal RNA is filed under the name uncultured bacterium. RNAcentral's name for it is "partial 16S ribosomal RNA". It matches the Rfam family "Bacterial small subunit ribosomal RNA", at positions 524 to 777 of the family's 1533-position model. The record is from RNAcentral.